GAGGGUAUAGCUCAAGUGGUAGAGUGUGUAUGCUUAGUAUGCACGAGGUCCUGGGUUCAAUCCCCAGUACCUCCU
RNAcentral lists this transfer RNA (75 nucleotides) under Camelus bactrianus (Bactrian camel). It matches the Rfam family "tRNA". From Rfam's summary of the family: Transfer RNA (tRNA) molecules are approximately 80 nucleotides in length. Their secondary structure includes four short double-helical elements and three loops (D, anti-codon, and T loops). Further hydrogen bonds mediate the characteristic L-shaped molecular structure. tRNAs have two regions of fundamental functional importance: the anti-codon, which is responsible for specific mRNA codon recognition, and the 3' end, to which the tRNAs corresponding amino acid is attached (by aminoacyl-tRNA synthetases). tRNAs cope with the degeneracy of the genetic code in two manners: having more than one tRNA (with a specific anti-codon) for a particular amino acid; and 'wobble' base-pairing, i.e. permitting non-standard base-pairing at the 3rd anti-codon position. The record is from Rfam by way of RNAcentral. Lineage: Eukaryota; Metazoa; Chordata; Mammalia; Artiodactyla; Camelidae. RNAcentral also lists the same sequence under 2 other names.